UGAGUACGAGAUGCUACGGCAUCGAAGCAGUCUAUGUCAUACUUCCAAGAAAAGCUUGCACUGUCAUAAACAAAGAAUGCCUGUACCAUAACCGACACAGGUGGGUAGGUAGAGUAUACUAAGGGGCGCGAGAUAACUCUCUCUAAGGAACUCGGCAAAAUGACUCCGUAACUUCGGGAGAAGGAGUGCCUUAUUUCUAAGGUUGCAAUAACAAGAUCCAAGCAACUGUCUACCAAAAACACAGGUCUCCGCUAAGUCGUAAGACGAUGUAUGGGGGCUGACGCCUGCCCAGUGCCAGAAGGUUAAAGAAGUUGGUUAGCAUUAGCGAAGCUGAUAACUGAAGCCCUGGUGAACGGCGGCCGUAACAAUAACGGUCCUAAGGUAGCGAAAUUCCUUGUCGGGUAAGUUCCGACCCGCACGAAAGGCGUAAUGAUUUGGAUACUGUCUCGGAGAGGGGCUCGGUGAAAUAGACUUGUCUGUGAAGAUGCGGACUACCUGCACCUGGACAGAAAGACCCUAUGAAGCUUUACUGUAACUUGAGAUUGAAAUUGGACCUUAUUUGCGCAGUAUAGGUGGUAGGCGUUGAGAAUAAUCUUGCGGGAUUGUUGGAGCCAUCAGUGAGAUACCACUCUUGUAAUGUUAGAUUUCUAACUUUGUAUCAUUAUCUGGUCAAAGAACAGUUUCAGGCGGGCAGUUUGACUGGGGCGGUCGCCUCCCAAAGGGUAACGGAGGCGCACAAAGGUUUCCUCUGAACGGGUAGAAAUCGUAUCUAGAGUGUAAAGGCAUAAGGAAGCUUGACUGUGAGACCUACAAGUCGAGCAGGGACGAAAGUCGGUCUUAGUGAUCUGACGGUGCUGAGUGGAAAGGCCGUCACUCAACGGAUAAAAGUUACUCUAAGGAUAACAGGCUGAUCUCCCCCAAGAGUUCACAUCGACGGGGAGGUUUGGCACCUCGAUGUCGGCUCAUCGCAUCCUGGGGCGGUAGUCCGUCCCAAGGGUUGGGCUGUUCGCCCAUGAAAGCGGUACGCGAGCUGGGUUCAGAACGUCGUGAGACAGUUCGGUCCAUAUCCGGUGUAGGCGUUAGAAUAUUGAGAGGAGCCUUCUCUAGUACGAGAGGACCGAGAAGGACAUACCUCUGGUGUACCAGUUAUCGUGCCAACGGUAAACGCUGGGUAGCUAUGUAUGGAGUGGAUAACCGCUGAAAGCAUCUAAGUGGGAAGCCCACCUCAAGAUAAGUAUUCUCA
This 1243-nucleotide ribosomal RNA is filed under the name metagenome. Its description in RNAcentral is "bacterial LSU rRNA". It matches the Rfam family "Bacterial large subunit ribosomal RNA", at positions 1564 to 2816 of the family's 2925-position model. The record is from RNAcentral.